This 468-nucleotide ribosomal RNA is filed under the name uncultured bacterium. RNAcentral describes it as "partial 16S ribosomal RNA". It matches the Rfam family "Bacterial small subunit ribosomal RNA", at positions 28 to 507 of the family's 1533-position model. The record is from RNAcentral.
GACGAACGCUGGCGGCGUGCUUAACACAUGCAAGUCGAACGGAAAGGCCCUGCUUGUUUGUGGUUCUCGAGUGGCGAACGGGUGAGUUACCCGGGAGUAACCUGCCCUUUGCUUGGUGAUGACUUCAAGAGACUGCUGCUAAUACCUGAUUCGUGCGCGUGCUGGAUGGUGGGGUUUGGACAGCUUGGUCUGUUGGGGGUCGACUGCGGGCUAGUCAGCUGGUUGGGUGGGUAGUGGCUAACCGAGGGUUUGGCGGGUGGCCGGCAUGGGAGGGUGAACGGGCACCAUGGGACUGAGAGAGGGAGCAGACGCCAACGGGAGGCAGUAGUGGGGAAUAUUGCACAAUGGGCGGAAGCCUGAUGCAGAAGCGCCGCGUGCGGGAUGAAGGCCUUCGGGUUGUAAACCGCUUUAGGCUGUGACGAAGCGUGAGUGACGGUAAUGGGUAAAGAAGCACCGGCUAACUACGUG